UAACCAUAAACGCCGCUCUGAGGGCUGGGCC
This 31-nucleotide small RNA is filed under the name Arabidopsis thaliana (thale cress). RNAcentral describes it as "ATSL133730". The record is from RNAcentral. Lineage: Eukaryota; Viridiplantae; Streptophyta; Magnoliopsida; Brassicales; Brassicaceae.